This 1286-nucleotide long non-coding RNA is filed under the name Piliocolobus tephrosceles (Ugandan red Colobus). RNAcentral describes it as "lncRNA (ENSPTEG00000035988.1)". Lineage: Eukaryota; Metazoa; Chordata; Mammalia; Primates; Cercopithecidae. The record is from RNAcentral.
CUAGAAGCAGCCCCUAUGCAGACAGACCAGCAGGACUGAAAGCUGGACAGACUCGAGCCAGAGAGCCAGGUGGAACAAUCUGGCCAGAAAAAGUCUGGCCACAAAGAGUCUGGCCACAGCCCCGCUUUCCUCAUCUCUGAAACGUCCACAUGGCUGCCCGCCCUGCCCAGCUCAAGGGAAUGUUGCAAGGCUCUCAUGGAAACCAUGCUUGUGAGUGUUUUGAGGACUGUCAUAACCCGUCCCAAGGUCAGAGGACAGUAGAAAACAAAAAUCUUGCUUUCAGAGGGUGCUUUCACCAGUCGGCAGCCUCUCCCCCCGGGCAAAGCCAGACAACUAAAACAGAAUGAACCAGCAGAGUGGAGUUGGGGUGAAAUGCUCCACUUCCAACCCAGAAAGGAGAAGCCAAUGUUCAUGUUUCCCCUUAGAGAAACAGGCGAUGUUUGAACAGGAACAACAACGCCAGAGGGUCAGUCCACACACAGAACACCCCAUCUCCAUGCCGAUGGAGGACUGACUGUCCUGCUGCUGAACUGCACCCCUGGGGCUCUCCAGGACACUCCACUGUUGGCCACACUCAGGAAAAUGAAGAAAAGCCUUCAAAAGGACCCUUCUGGCCAUUUAGGGAAUGCACCGACCUGCUAGCUCCUGCUUGCCUGUUCAGAGCUGCCUCCACUGGGGCAAGAAUUUGCAGCCAAGAAAAUCCCUGACAACCCCAGGGACAGAAGGAUGCUGGACCAGUCUCAGCAUUCAAGAGGAAGAGAAAAAUGAAAACAAAAAGCAAUCUGGAGUUGAAUGUCAGCCUUCCCCUCACUGGUUCUGGGUCCUUUGCAAGGCCAUAUUGUCCCCGGACCUCUCUUGCUUCACUGACCUUCCUCCCAGGAUUGCCAUGAGGAUUAAAUGGACUCAUAUAUGUGUUGUACCUACACAGUACCUGGAACAUAGUAAACAUCCAAUAAUGUUGGUUUCUUGCUACAAGAAAUUGUAAAAUAUGGCCACAAAUUCCUCCUAUCUUGGUAAGCACAGCCCUUGGCAAUUACUUAGCUGCUACUCCCAUCAAGAGUUGAGGUCUGUGUCCCUACCCCUUGAAUCUGGGCUAGCCUGGGACUUUCCUCAACCAGUAGAAUUUAACAGAAGUAACAGUGUGUGACCUCCAAGGCUAGCCCUUGCCACUUCCACUUUUGCCCUCUUGGAAUGUGGCCCAGAGACAGCCAUCUAAGGAAGCUGAUCUAGCCCACUGGAAGAGGAGUGGGCAGAUGGAGAAGUGAGGUCCCCCAACCAGCUGCCAG